Molecule: ribosomal RNA, 465 nt
Filed under: Vreelandella stevensii
Lineage: Bacteria; Pseudomonadati; Pseudomonadota; Gammaproteobacteria; Oceanospirillales; Halomonadaceae
Description: partial 16S ribosomal RNA
Rfam family: Bacterial small subunit ribosomal RNA
Source: RNAcentral
CCUACGGGCGGCAGCAGUGGGGAAUAUUGGACAAUGGGCGAAAGCCUGAUCCAGCCAUGCCGCGUGUGUGAAGAAGGCCUUCGGGUUGUAAAGCACUUUCAGUGGGGAAGAAAGCCUUGGGGCUAAUACCCUCGAGGAAGGACAUCACCCACAGAAGAAGCACCGGCUAACUCCGUGCCAGCAGCCGCGGUAAUACGGAGGGUGCGAGCGUUAAUCGGAAUUACUGGGCGUAAAGCGCGCGUAGGCGGUCUGAUAAGCCGGUUGUGAAAGCCCCGGGCUCAACCUGGGAACGGCAUCCGGAACUGUCAGGCUAGAGUGCAGGAGAGGAAGGUAGAAUUCCCGGUGUAGCGGUGAAAUGCGUAGAGAUCGGGAGGAAUACCAGUGGCGAAGGCGGCCUGCUGGACUGACACUGACGCUGAGGUGCGAAAGCGUGGGUAGCAAACAGGAUUAGAUACCCGAGUAGUC